This 74-nucleotide microRNA precursor is filed under the name Haemonchus placei. Its description in RNAcentral is "mir-5928 microRNA precursor family". It matches the Rfam family "mir-5928 microRNA precursor family". The record is from Rfam by way of RNAcentral. Lineage: Eukaryota; Metazoa; Nematoda; Chromadorea; Rhabditida; Trichostrongylidae.
GACCCAAAUUGAAGUAGAGUCGAUAAGUAGGAUUAGCUGACCCUACUAAACUAUUCUACUUCAAGUUUGUGCUC